UACGAAGGGGGCUAGCGUUGUUCGGAAUUACUGGGCGUAAAGGGCGCGUAGGCGGACAGUUUAGUCAGAUGUGAAAGCCCAGGGCUCAACCUUGGAAAUGCCUUUGAUACUGGCUGUCUUGAGUUCGGGAGAGGUGAGUGGAAUGCCGAGUGUAGAGGUGAAAUUCGUAGAUAUUCGGCGGAACACCAGUGGCGAAGGCGACUCACUGGCCCGAUACUGACGCUGAGGCGCGAAAGCGUGGGGAGCAAACAGG
Molecule: ribosomal RNA, 253 nt
Filed under: uncultured bacterium
Lineage: Bacteria
Description: partial 16S ribosomal RNA
Rfam family: Bacterial small subunit ribosomal RNA
Source: RNAcentral